This 227-nucleotide ribosomal RNA is filed under the name uncultured bacterium. Its description in RNAcentral is "partial 16S ribosomal RNA". It matches the Rfam family "Bacterial small subunit ribosomal RNA", at positions 118 to 346 of the family's 1533-position model. The record is from RNAcentral.
UGAGCAAUCUGCCCUUCACUUCGGGAUAACUCCGGGAAACCGGUGCUAAUACCGAAUACGACCACUUCAGGCAUCUGAUGGUGGUGGAAAGUUCCGGCGGUGAAGGAUGAGCUCGCGGCCUAUCAGCUUGUUGGUGAGGUAACGGCCCACAAGGCAACGACGGGUAGCCGGCCUGAGAGGGUGACCGGCCACACUGGGACUGAGACACGGCCCAGACUCCUACGGGA